AACGAACGCUGGCGGCAUGCCUAACACAUGCAAGUCGAACGAGACCUUCGGGUCUAGUGGCGCACGGGUGCGUAACGCGUGGGAACCUGCCCUUAGGUUCGGCAUAACUCCCCGAAAGGGGUGCUAAUACCGGAUAAUGUCUUCGGACCAAAGAUUGAUCGCCUUUGGAUGGGCCCGCGUUGGAUUCGCUAGUUGGUAGGGUAAAAGCCUACCAAGGCGACGAUCCAUAGCUGGUCUGAGAGGAUGAUCAGCCACACUGGGACUGAGACACGGCCCAGACUCCUGCGGGAGGCAGCAGAGGGGAAUAUUGGCAAAUGGGCGAAAGCCUGAUCCCGCACUGCCGCGUGAGUGAUGAAGGCCUUAGGGUUGUAAAGCUCUUUUACCCGGGAUGAUAAUGACAGUACCGGGAGAAUAAGCUCCGGCUAACUCCGUG
Molecule: ribosomal RNA, 433 nt
Filed under: uncultured bacterium
Lineage: Bacteria
Description: partial 16S ribosomal RNA
Rfam family: Bacterial small subunit ribosomal RNA
Source: RNAcentral